This 531-nucleotide ribosomal RNA is filed under the name uncultured Comamonadaceae bacterium. RNAcentral's name for it is "bacterial SSU rRNA". It matches the Rfam family "Bacterial small subunit ribosomal RNA", at positions 945 to 1476 of the family's 1533-position model. Lineage: Bacteria; Pseudomonadati; Pseudomonadota; Betaproteobacteria; Burkholderiales; Comamonadaceae. The record is from RNAcentral.
UUUAAUUCGAUGCAACGCGAAAAACCUUACCCACCUUUGACAUGUACGGAACUUGCCAGAGAUGGCUUGGUGCUCGAAAGAGAACCGUAACACAGGUGCUGCAUGGCUGUCGUCAGCUCGUGUCGUGAGAUGUUGGGUUAAGUCCCGCAACGAGCGCAACCCUUGUCAUUAGUUGCUACAUUCAGUUGGGCACUCUAAUGAGACUGCCGGUGACAAACCGGAGGAAGGUGGGGAUGACGUCAAGUCCUCAUGGCCCUUAUAGGUGGGGCUACACACGUCAUACAAUGGCCGGUACAAAGGGUUGCCAACCCGCGAGGGGGAGCUAAUCCCAUAAAGCCGGUCGUAGUCCGGAUCGCAGUCUGCAACUCGACUGCGUGAAGUCGGAAUCGCUAGUAAUCGUGGAUCAGAAUGUCACGGUGAAUACGUUCCCGGGUCUUGUACACACCGCCCGUCACACCAUGGGAGCGGGUUCUGCCAGAAGUAGUUAGCCUAACCGCAAGGAGGGCGAUUACCACGGCAGGGUUCGUGACU